Molecule: long non-coding RNA, 489 nt
Filed under: Bos taurus (domestic cattle)
Lineage: Eukaryota; Metazoa; Chordata; Mammalia; Artiodactyla; Bovidae
Description: long non-coding RNA NONBTAT009196
Source: RNAcentral
AGGAUUUUAAGAUUGUUAACCAAUCAGAUCACCAGAAAUGUGUUUGUUUGCUGGCUGCUUGCCUUUUGAAAAGUUAAUAACAACAGCCAAACUGUACUAUUAAAAAUAUUUUUGUUUCAGUAUAAAAGUCUAAAUUAAAGCUUAAGAAAAUGUUUUAAUAAGAGCAAUCUGAGGUUUGCUUUACUAUUCUUGCUUUACUAUAAUUUGAGAUUUAAUGUUAUUGAUUACCAAUGAAUCAUUUUUUUUGAGAGUCAGAAUUAUGAUAUGGCCCACAGUUGUCAAAAAACUUUCUUUUUUAAGUUUUAUGCCUUAGAAAGGUCAUUGAUUUCAAGUCAGAGUCUUCUCCAGUGGAAAUCCAAGUAUAACCUGGAAAUUCAUUUCCUUAUGCCUGACCUCAGAUAAGCUUUGUUUUUCUGAUGAGAUGUAUAUUAGCUUUUAGAUUCCUUUGAACUUAAUCCACAAUGCAUUAUCAAACAUUCGAUUUUUCAA